Molecule: ribosomal RNA, 253 nt
Filed under: uncultured bacterium
Lineage: Bacteria
Description: partial 16S ribosomal RNA
Rfam family: Bacterial small subunit ribosomal RNA
Source: RNAcentral
UACGGAGGGUGCAAGCGUUAAUCGGAAUUACUGGGCGUAAAGCGCACGCAGGCGGUCUUUUAAGUCAGAUGUGAAAUCCCCGGGCUCAACCUGGGAAUAGCAUUUGAGACUGGAAGGCUAGAGUACUGUAGGGGGGGGUAGAAUUCCAGGUGUAGCGGUGAAAUGCGUAGAGAUGUGGAGGAAUACCGAUGGCGAAGGCAGCCCCCUGGGCAUAUACUGACGCUCAUGUGCGAAAGCGUGGGGAGCAAACAGG